RNAcentral lists this ribosomal RNA (443 nucleotides) under Loa loa (African eye worm). RNAcentral's name for it is "partial 12S ribosomal RNA". The record is from RNAcentral. Lineage: Eukaryota; Metazoa; Nematoda; Chromadorea; Rhabditida; Onchocercidae.
GCUAUACAUUUUAAUUUUUAACUCUAUUUAUUGUAGUAUCUUUUUUUGUUUUAUUUUUUUUAUAUCAUUUUUGUAAAAUGUUUUAAUUUUAUUAUACUUUUAAAGAUAUUGAAAAUUUGUUUGUUGAACUGGAUUAGUACCCAGGUAAUCAAAAUUUAUUAAUUCGGGAGUAAAGUUUUGUUUAAACCGAAAAAAUAUUGACUGACUUUAGAUUUUUCUUUGGAACAUGUGUAUGGAGAGUCCUCUUUUUUAGUGAGUUUUAUUGGCACAUGUAUGAUUGUUUAGUUUUUAUGUUAUUUUGUGAUGCUUUUUUUUGUUUAAUUGAAAAACAGAUAUAUAUUUGGUUUAUAAGCUUGUUAAUCAUGUGUUACUAUUAUUAAUUUUUUUUGGAUCUUUUUUUAAUAUUUUGUGAAAUUGGAAAAGAAAGUAAUUAAAUUUUGAUA